GAUGAAGAACGCAGCGAAAUGCGAUACGUAAUGUGAAUUGCAGAAUUCAGUGAAUCAUCGAAUCUUUGAACGCACAUUGCGCCCUUUGGUAUUCCUUAGGGCAUGCCUGUUCGAGCGUCAUUUAAACCUUCAAGCUAAGCUUGGUGUUGGGUGACUGUCCGCUUCACGGCGGACUCGCCUCAAAAUUAUUGGCGGCCGGUACAUUGGCUUCGAGCGCAGCAGAAACGCGAACUCGGGCCCGUCGUAUUGGCUCCCAGAAGCUAUCUUCACAAUUUUGACCUCGGAUCAGGUAGGGAUACCCGCUGAACUUAAGCAUAUCAAUAAGCGGAGGA
This 332-nucleotide unclassified non-coding RNA is filed under the name soil metagenome. RNAcentral describes it as "partial contains 5.8S ribosomal RNA, internal transcribed spacer 2, and large subunit ribosomal RNA". The stretch from base 1 to 120 matches the Rfam family "5.8S ribosomal RNA", at positions 35 to 154 of the family's 154-position model. The record is from RNAcentral.